This 253-nucleotide ribosomal RNA is filed under the name uncultured bacterium. Its description in RNAcentral is "partial 16S ribosomal RNA". It matches the Rfam family "Bacterial small subunit ribosomal RNA", at positions 524 to 776 of the family's 1533-position model. The record is from RNAcentral.
UACAGAGGUCUCAAGCGUUGUUCGGAUUCAUUGGGCGUAAAGGGUGCGUAGGUGGCAUGGUAAGUCGGAUGUGAAAUCCCGGGGCUCAACCCCGGAACUGCAUUCGAUACUGCUGAGCUAGAGUACUGGAGAGGAGAUUGGAAUUUACGGUGUAGCAGUGAAAUGCGUAGAUAUCGUAAGGAAGACCAGUGGCGAAGGCGGCAUCCUGGACCAACACUGACGCUGAGGAGCGAAAGCCAGGGGAGCAAACGGG